Long non-coding RNA from Cheilinus undulatus (humphead wrasse), 773 nucleotides. RefSeq lists it as uncharacterized. The transcript is spliced from 4 exons. NCBI's taxonomy places the organism in Eukaryota, Metazoa, Chordata, Actinopteri, Labriformes, Labridae. The record is from RefSeq and is a predicted model, not a curated record.
CUGCGCCUGUUGAAAAAUAGGGAAAUUGAAAGAUGACGCCAAGUUUCCUGAUCAAUACAAGAUCACUUUUUGACAACAGAAAGGGGGACGUGAAACACGUGAACAGUUCAUCUGUCUGUCUGUCGGCCUGGCUGGAAGGUUUGGUUUUCCCCACUCAAGGUCAGGGACAGUGAAAGACCACACUCAGCUGUCAGCUUUAGAGGUCUUCAGAGUGGACUGGAGGAUGUGUUACAAUCAGCAGAGGGCAGAAGACAGCUGCGCAACAUACACACACAAACACACACUUAGACACACAAAGCAACUCAAAGUCUGACCCCCACGCACAUGUCACACACUCACUAUCCUGCACAAAUACACACAGAGGCAGUGAUGUGCAGCUGAUGGAGCUUGUGUUUAACAUGUGAUGGGUAAAAGAGGAAAUGAAAAGGAGAGCGGGUGCUUGGAGGCUUGAUGCUCUUUGCUGUGGCUGCUUGCUUCAGUCACACUGAGAUCAACUCAUUUCACAGCUAAGUGCCCUGAUUGACUGUGUGUGUUUGUGUGGUGUAAAUCCUCCCCUCUGAAAACAGAACAUUGAUGAUACAAAUCUAAACCCCUAAUGUGCUCAGUGACAUUUAGCAGAGCUCAUUGCCAACCAUUUUCAGAUUAUUAUUUGAUACUAUUUAAAGAUCAAAGCUCAUACAAAAUCAUGUAAACACAGUUUUUGUUUAUUUUUUUUUACUCAACUGACUCCAAUGAAUCUGUAGAAACCUUGAUGUCACUGAUAGGGGCAUAUG